ACGAGGUAGCAUACCUAGUGGCGGACGGGUGAGUAACGCGUGGGAAUCUGCCUUUAGAUGGGGGAUAACGGGUCGAAAGACUCGCUAAUACCGCAUAUGACGAAAGUUGAAAGGAGUAAUCCGUCUAAAGAUGAGCCCGCGUCCGAUUAGCUAGUUGGUAGAGUAAAAGCCUACCAAGGCGACGAUCGGUAGCUGGUCUGAGAGGAUGAUCAGCCACAAUGGGACUGAGACACGGCCCAUACUCCUACGGGAGGCAGCAGUGGGGAAUUUUACGCAAUGGGCGAAAGCCUGACGUAGCGACACCGCGUGAGCGAAGAAGCCCCUUGGGGUGUAAAGCUCUGUCAGCUGGAACGAAAAAAAUGACGGUACCAGCAGAGGAAGCAUCGGCUAACUACGUGCCAGCAGCCGCGGUAAGACGUAGGAUGCAAGCGUUGUCCGGAUUUAUUGGGCGUAAAGAGUUCGUAGGUGGUUUGUUAAGUUUGGUGUUAAAGAUUGGGGCUCAACCCUGAAACUGCACUGAAUACUGGCAGACUCGAGUGUGGUAGAGGCUAGUGGAAUUCCCAGUGUAGCGGUGAAAUGCGUAGAUAUUGGGAAGAACACCGGUGGCGUAGGCGACUAGCUGGGCCAUAACUGACACUGAGGAACGAAAGCCAGGGGAGCGAAUGGGAUUAGAUACCCCAGUAGUCCU
This 688-nucleotide ribosomal RNA is filed under the name uncultured bacterium. RNAcentral's name for it is "bacterial SSU rRNA". It matches the Rfam family "Bacterial small subunit ribosomal RNA", at positions 66 to 797 of the family's 1533-position model. The record is from RNAcentral.